This 62-nucleotide ribosomal RNA is filed under the name Poteriostomum imparidentatum. Its description in RNAcentral is "partial 18S ribosomal RNA". It matches the Rfam family "Eukaryotic small subunit ribosomal RNA", at positions 1 to 63 of the family's 1831-position model. The record is from RNAcentral. Lineage: Eukaryota; Metazoa; Nematoda; Chromadorea; Rhabditida; Strongylidae.
UACCUGAUUGAUUCUGUCAGCGCUAUAUGCUCAGUUAAAAGAUUAAGCCAUGCAUGUCUAAG